RNAcentral lists this ribosomal RNA (440 nucleotides) under uncultured bacterium. Its description in RNAcentral is "bacterial SSU rRNA". It matches the Rfam family "Bacterial small subunit ribosomal RNA", at positions 338 to 795 of the family's 1533-position model. The record is from RNAcentral.
CCUACGGGCGGCACCAGUGGGGAAUAUUGGACAAUGGGCGAAAGCCUGAUCCAGCAAUGCCGCGUGUGUGAAGAAGGUCUUCGGAUUGUAAAGCACUUUCGACAGGGACGAUGAUGACGGUACCCGUAGAAGAAGCCCCGGCUAACUUCGUGCCAGCAGCUGCGGUAAUACGAAGGGGGCUAGCGUUGCUCGGAAUGACUGGGCGUAAAGGGCGCGUAGGCGGUUUAUGCAGUCAGAUGUGAAAUCCCCGGGCUUAACCUGGGAACUGCAUUUGAGACGCAUAGACUAGAGGUCGAGAGAGGGUUGUGGAAUUCCCAGUGUAGAGGUGAAAUUCGUAGAUAUUGGGAAGAGCACCGGUGGCGAAGGCGGCAACCUGGCUCGAUACUGACGCUGAGGCGCGAAAGCGUGGGGAGCAAACAGGAUUAGAUACCCUGGUAGUC